RNAcentral lists this long non-coding RNA (1521 nucleotides) under Mus spicilegus (steppe mouse). RNAcentral's name for it is "lncRNA (ENSMSIG00000011821.1)". The record is from RNAcentral. Lineage: Eukaryota; Metazoa; Chordata; Mammalia; Rodentia; Muridae.
CUGUUUAACGGUGGAGAGUUUGCAUCUCGGUCAUCCAUCUAUGCAAGUCCUUCUCUUUCGUCACUAUUUCAGGCAUGGCUUGUGAUGGGUCUUUAUAUCUGAGAAAACAACCACCACACAGAUGCAACAGUCUCCUCGAGCUGAAAUUGGAGGUGGGGAACUGCAGCUUACCAUCCCACUGCCUACAGGAACCAGUUGUUCGCUCCUGUUAGCUGGGAUGCCACAACAAGCAGCACGGAAAUGCACGAGGAGCAGAGGAAGGAUGUGGUCCAUCCGGGACAGGCUGAGCUCUUAUGCUGAAGAUCGCCACCCAGUGGGGACACGGGAAAUUCCAGCCCAGGGUGCCCAGCUGUGACCCAAUGAGGAAAAGCCUGUGGAUGGGUGAGUCAGGAGAGGGGAAGAGUCUAGAAGCGCCCAAGGAAGGCGAAGGCAAGCCCACCAAAGACUGAGCUACAUUACCUGAAGGCAAAGGACAGGCCCACAAAGAAACAGAGACUCACAGAGCAGAAGCAUUGCAUUUUCACAAAGGUGAAAGAAGAUCAAAACAUCUGCUAUCUGUAGGGUUUAACAACAAACACAGAAGGCAAACCCCUUGGUGAAUAAUAAGUGGCCAGAGAUACAAGGAAAGUGAAGCAAGGGCCAGCUGAGGGGCCCCACACUGACCCGACACCUGCUGGGGCUCAGGGUUUCUGCCUCUGCUGGCAAGGUCAUUGCAAGCUACUUUUCUCCCUGGUGACUCGGUAGAUGCUUUUCUUAAUUAAUGGUUCUGAUUUAUGUUUAACUCGACCACAAUUCUUCAAGGAGGGACCACUGAUCAUGGUCACAAGCUUUAGCAACUCUGUCUUAGCACUUACUCUGUCUUUUCAGAUAAGCUACUUUGGCGGGAGUCCCCGUGGUGUGUUGCUGAUAGGCAGCAAACAGCAGGCGGAAGAGUUUUGCUCUCUGGCUCUGCCACCACUGUGAUUAGUCGGUGUGCAUUCCUGCCCAAUCUCGUUGGAGUUUGAAUUACACAUUGUUUGCUAAGCCCUAUGCUUGGCCAAAGAGGGACUUAAUGGCACUUAGGAAAAAAGAAAUGAUCAAAUGACACGGGGUCUCCAAAGCAUCAUUAUCUCUCUGAUGAGUGACACUUUAAGCCUCACUAUGCUUCUGGGUCCUUUGAUGAUGGCGCUCCCCACAAGGGCUCACUUGGAUGACAGUUUCUGAGGACUGUGCAUAAAGAAAGCUGGAGAGCUGGGGUUCGUUCACAGCCCAAUUUCUGACAGGAGGGAAGGGGCUUUCUCUGAAGGUGACAAUAUGCUCCAGAUAAUGGUAGCUUCAGUACACUGAGGGAAGAAAUCCAAAUAAGCCCGAAGUGUCACUGAAACAUUGAUACGUUUGUAUUUCUUCUCUAUUUAGGAAAUUAUUUCGCUGUAUAGUUUUAAAAUCUCAUAGGGAGAAAAAAUAAUUAAGCAUCGAUGGAUGUACUUCUCCAUCUGGUCUUCAGAAAAUAAAUAUUAAAAUGCACAUGGGAGAAAAUAUAGC